GUCCCAGAAACUUCAGAAGGGAACUCUCCUGAUACUAGCAUAUCUGGAAAGGACAAAAUACAGGCAUAUAGGAACGUUAUUUGUAUUGCUGAUGAUGAUUUUGAAAGUGGUCAUUGUGGCUGUUCUCUGGAUGGUUUUGAAGGGGGUGGAAGUCAAAAUGCUUAUUUCACCUCAAGUAAGGGAUGUCUGCUUUCUUGUAAUCGGG
RNAcentral lists this unclassified non-coding RNA (205 nucleotides) under Hevea brasiliensis (rubber tree). The record is from RNAcentral. Lineage: Eukaryota; Viridiplantae; Streptophyta; Magnoliopsida; Malpighiales; Euphorbiaceae.